RNAcentral lists this ribosomal RNA (253 nucleotides) under uncultured bacterium. Its description in RNAcentral is "partial 16S ribosomal RNA". It matches the Rfam family "Bacterial small subunit ribosomal RNA", at positions 524 to 776 of the family's 1533-position model. The record is from RNAcentral.
UACGUAGGAUGCAAGCGUUGUCCGGAUUUAUUGGGCGUAAAGAGUUCGUAGGUGGUUCGUUAAGUCUGGUGUUAAAGACUGGGGCUCAACCCCGGGAAUGCCCUGGAUACUGGCGGACUGGAGUGAAGUAGAGGCAAGCGGAAUUCCAGGUGUAGCGGUGAAAUGCGUAGAUAUCUGGAAGAACACCGGUGGCGUAAGCGGCUUGCUGGGCUUUAACUGACACUGAGGAACGAAAGCUAGGGGAGCGAAUGGG